AGAGUUUGAUCCUGGCUCAGAACGAACGUUGGCGGCGUGGCUUAGGCAUGCAAGUCGAACGAGAAAGUUUCUUUCGGGAAGCGAGUAGAGUGGCAAAAGGGUGAGUAAUGAUUAGUUAACCUACCCCUAAAACUGGGAUAACUACCCGAAAGGGUUGCUAAUACCGGAUGGUCUAUGAGAAUCGCAUGGUUUUUAUAGUAAAGGCGCUCGCAAGGGUGUCGAUUAGGGAGGGGAUUAAUUCCUAUUAGCUAGUUGGUGAGGUAACGGCUCUACCAAGGCAUUGAUGGGUAACCGGUCUGAGAGGAUGGCCAGCCACAUUGGGACUGAGAAACGGCCCAUACUCCUACGGGAGGCAGCAGUGGGGAAUAUUGCGCAAUGGCCGAAAGGCUGACGCAGCGACGCCGCGCGUGGGAUGAAGGCCUUCGGGUUGUAAACCACUGUCGGGAGGGGCGAAUACUUGGGCCUCGUAAGGGGAUCCAGGGGUGACGGUACCUCCAAAGGAAGCACCGGCUAACUCCGUGGCCAGCAGCCGCGGUAAUACGGAGGGUGCGAGCGUUGUCCGGAAUCACUGGGCGUAAAGGGCGCGUANGCGGUUUGGUAAGUCACGUGUGAAAUCCCGGCGCUCAACGCCGGGGCUGCAUGUGAGACUGUCAGACUANAGCUCGGUAGAGGCNAGUGGANUUCCC
RNAcentral lists this ribosomal RNA (686 nucleotides) under uncultured bacterium. Its description in RNAcentral is "bacterial SSU rRNA". It matches the Rfam family "Bacterial small subunit ribosomal RNA", at positions 8 to 671 of the family's 1533-position model. The record is from RNAcentral.